Molecule: long non-coding RNA, 550 nt
Organism: Olea europaea var. sylvestris
Lineage: Eukaryota; Viridiplantae; Streptophyta; Magnoliopsida; Lamiales; Oleaceae
Exons: 2
Source: RefSeq, a predicted model, not a curated record
AUAUUCAGUAUUGGUCUUUCUUGGCUAUGCAGGUGACGCCAAAAGCUAUCCGGUUGAGAAAGAGAUAUCUGGAUGUUGGUAAGCGUAAAACAAUGAGCAAAAGACCGAAGGAGUGAAUUUGUCGCUCAACAAAUUUCCCUAGAGUUGGACGAUUAGAAUUUGGGAGAUUGUAGAUAUAGUCAGAUUCUGAGAGCAAAAGGAAAGAAUUUGAAGAUGGGCGCAUUGAAGGGAGAGCCGCUAGUUAUGAAGCUGGCAAAGGUGGCGCAAUACAGCAUUUUUCCUGGAGCCAGGAUUGCCGUCCUCUACUCACCUCCCGAUUACGCUUUACGCAAAAAAACCAUCUGAUUCUAAACCCCCAGUUCUUCUUCCCAUUAGAUUCAAUGGCUCUUAGCUGUUUAAACAUGCAUCUUUGUAUUUCCUUGCGAUAUGUUAGUUUAAUAUGGCAUGUAAUAAAUAAUUAUUGCUCCUUUUGUGGCUGUGUACCAGCUUGUAAACAAUUAGGAUUUUGAGUUUCAAUAUCUUCUGAAGAAAAUUGUUGCUUUCCUGUUAA